Molecule: non-coding RNA, 72 nt
Organism: Ictidomys tridecemlineatus (thirteen-lined ground squirrel)
Lineage: Eukaryota; Metazoa; Chordata; Mammalia; Rodentia; Sciuridae
Source: Rfam
UGGGUUGUGGCUCAGCAGUAGAGCGUUCACCUAGCAUGUGUGAGGCCCUGGGUUCAAUCCUCAGCACCACAU